UGGCUCAGGAUGAACGCUGGCGGCGUGCCUAAUACAUGCAAGUCGAACGAGUUCUGAUUAUUGAAAGGUGCUUGCAUCUUGAUUUAAUUUUGAACGAGUGGCGGACGGGUGAGUAACACGUGGGUAACCUGCCCUUGAGUGGGGGAUAACAUUUGGAAACAGAUGCUAAUACCGCAUAAAUCCAAAAACCGCAUGGUUCUUGGCUGAAAGAUGGCGUAAGCUAUCGCUUUUGGAUGGACCCGCGGCGUAUUAGCUAGUUGGUGAGGUAACGGCUCACCAAGGCAAUGAUACGUAGCCGAACUGAGAGGUUGAUCGGCCACAUUGGGACUGAGACACGGCCCAAACUCCUACGGGAGGCAGCAGUAGGGAAUCUUCCACAAUGGACGCAAGUCUGAUGGAGCAACGCCGCGUGAGUGAAGAAGGCUUUCGGGUCGUAAAACUCUGUUGUUGGAGAAGAAUGGUCGGCAGAGUAACUGUUGUCGGCGUGACGGUAUCCAACCAGAAAGCCACGGCUAACUACGUGCCAGCAGCCGCGGUAAUACGUAGGUGGCAAGCGUUAUCCGGAUUUAUUGGGCGUAAAGCGAGCGCAGGCGGUUUUUUAAGUCUGAUGUGAAAGCCCUCGGCUUAACCGAGGAAGUGCAUCGGAUACUGGGAAACUUGAGUGCAGAAGAGGACAGUGGAACUCCAUGUGUAGCGGUGAAAUGCGUAGAUAUAUGGAAGAACACCAGUGGCGAAGGCGGCUGUCUGGUCUGUAACUGACGCUGAGGCUCGAAAGCAUGGGUAGCGAACAGGAUUAGAUACCCUGGUAGUCCAUGCCGUAAACGAUGAAUGCUAGGUGUUGGAGGGUUUCCGCCCUUCAGUGCCGCAGCUAACGCAUUAAGCAUUCCGCCUGGGGAGUACGACCGCAAGGUUGAAACUCAAAGGAAUUGACGGGGGCCCGCACAAGCGGUGGAGCAUGUGGUUUAAUUCGAAGCAACGCGAAGAACCUUACCAGGUCUUGACAUCUUUUGAUCACCUGAGAGAUCAGGUUUCCCCUUCGGGGGCAAAAUGACAGGUGGUGCAUGGUUGUCGUCAGCUCGUGUCGUGAGAUGUUGGGUUAAGUCCCGCAACGAGCGCAACCCUUAUGACUAGUUGCCAGCAUUUAGUUGGGCACUCUAGUAAGACUGCCGGUGACAAACCGGAGGAAGGUGGGGAUGACGUCAAAUCAUCAUGCCCCUUAUGACCUGGGCUACACACGUGCUACAAUGGAUGGUACAACGAGUUGCGAGACCGCGAGGUCAAGCUAAUCUCUUAAAGCCAUUCUCAGUUCGGACUGUAGGCUGCAACUCGCCUACACGAAGUCGGAAUCGCUAGUAAUCGCGGAUCAGCACGCCGCGGUGAAUACGUUCCCGGGCCUUGUACACACCGCCCGUCACACCAUGAGAGUUUGUAACACCCGAAGCCGGUGGCGUAACCCUUUUAGGGAGCGAGCCGUCUAAGGUGGGACAAAUGA
Molecule: ribosomal RNA, 1492 nt
Filed under: uncultured organism
Description: SSU rRNA
Rfam family: Bacterial small subunit ribosomal RNA
Source: RNAcentral